UGGGAACUUCUAUAUCCGCAGGUGCAGCCUAAAAAGAAAAAAAAAAAAAAAAAAAAAAAAAAAAAAAAAAACANCCUUCCAUAGAUGCCAGCUGCUGAGGGCCUCAGAACCAGGCUUUCAGAGAAUAGGACAGGAGAGAGGCCUGGGGACAGAGGGGGACUCAGGGAGGUGGGUUAAGGCACUGGGAAGGGGAUUGGGCUUUUUAGUGCCAACCUGGUUCCAAGCAUGAGGACAAAAGGCUCCUGCCCCCACUCGCUGCAGUUUCACCCAUAUACCUGCUGGCAGGGGGAGUGAGACCCUGGCUGAGCUGCAGGGAAGGCAUGGGCCAGGGGAGAAGAAUCAUAGGUGUUUGCUCUGAACAUGUGCCCAGGAAGUCCACCCACCCACCUGCCUGCCCACCUGGUUACUCUUGCUUGGCUCAUUGGCUUGGAAAGCUCCACCCAGCAGGGGAGUAAAGAACAAAAGCUGCCUCCAGGAGGCCUUCGGACAGACGGGCAAACAGACCAGCCCGGGGACAGGAGAGUGGCUGCUAGACCCAGGAAAGGUCCUUCCAGGCCCUGUGGCCCCCAGGCCCCAAGCGGGUGCACACAGACCCCGAUCAUCCACGCCGGGAACCCAGGCCGCCGUCAGCAUGAACUGGGCCUUCCUGCAGGGCAUCCUGAGCGGGGUGAACAAGUACUCCACGGCGCUCGGCCGCAUCUGGCUGUCGGUGGUCUUCCUCUUCCGCGUGCUGGUGUACGUUGUGGCCGCCGAGGAGGUGUGGGAUGACGAGCAGAAGGACUUCAUCUGCAACACCAAGCAGCCCGGCUGCCCCAAUGUCUGCUACGACGAGUUCUUCCCCGUGUCCCACGUGCGCCUCUGGGCCCUGCAGCUCAUCCUGGUCACGUGCCCCUCGCUGCUCGUGGUCAUGCACGUGGCCUAUCGCCAGGAGCGGGAGCGCAAGCACCGCCUGAAGCAUGGGCCCGACGCCCGGUCCCUGUAUGACAACCCCAACAAGAAGCGAGGUGGCCUCUGGUGGACGUACUUGCUGAGUCUCAUCUUCAAGGCGGCCGUCGACGCCGGCUUCCUCUACAUCUUCCAUAGGCUCUACCGGAACUAUGACAUGCCCCGCGUGGUGUCCUGCUCCGAGGAGCCCUGCCCACACACUGUGGACUGCUACAUCUCCAGGCCCACAGAGAAGAAGGUUUUCACCUGCUUCAUGGUGGCCACGGCCGUGAUCUGCAUCCUGCUCAACCUCAGUGAGGUCACCUACCUGGUGGGCAAGAGGUGCCUGGAGAGCCUCGGCCCCAGGCACCAGC
This 1298-nucleotide long non-coding RNA is filed under the name Sus scrofa (pig). RNAcentral's name for it is "lncRNA (ENSSSCG00025021676.1)". The record is from RNAcentral. Lineage: Eukaryota; Metazoa; Chordata; Mammalia; Artiodactyla; Suidae.